ACGACUCUCGGCAACGGAUAUCUCGGCUCACGCAUCGAUGAAGAACGUAGCAAAAUGCGAUACUUGGUGUGAAUUGCASAAUCCCGUGAACCAUCGAGUUUWWYGAACGCAAGUUGCGCCCGAAGCCAUUYKGGUUGAGGGCACGUCUGCCUGGGCGUCACGC
This 163-nucleotide ribosomal RNA is filed under the name Helichrysum nicolai. RNAcentral describes it as "5.8S ribosomal RNA". It matches the Rfam family "5.8S ribosomal RNA". Rfam says of the family: 5.8S ribosomal RNA (5.8S rRNA) is a component of the large subunit of the eukaryotic ribosome. It is transcribed by RNA polymerase I as part of the 45S precursor that also contains 18S and 28S rRNA. Functionally, it is thought that 5.8S rRNA may be involved in ribosome translocation. Lineage: Eukaryota; Viridiplantae; Streptophyta; Magnoliopsida; Asterales; Asteraceae. The record is from RNAcentral.